This is a small nucleolar RNA of Larimichthys crocea (large yellow croaker), 218 nucleotides long. Its record names the gene U3. It matches the Rfam family "Small nucleolar RNA U3". Rfam says of the family: Small nucleolar RNAs (snoRNAs) are involved in the processing and modification of rRNA in the nucleolus. There are two main classes of snoRNAs: the box C/D class, and the box H/ACA class. The record is from Ensembl. Lineage: Eukaryota; Metazoa; Chordata; Actinopteri; Sciaenidae.
AAGACUAUACUUUCAGGGAUCUUUCUAUAGUUUUUCUAACUUGAGAAUGUGGUUUUCUAAAGUGUUUGGUCUCGCAAACCACGAUGAUGAGUCGUGAUAUUUCCUUCUGAGCAUGAAGCGACAGAGAGUAAAUAUUCACUUCAUAUGUUUCUGUCAUGAUGAUUGUUCUUUACUUCUUGGUGGAGUAUUGAGGAAGGGGAAUAUGAAGCAGAGGUGGU